CCUGCCCGCGRACMUUGCGAGAAGUCCACUGAACCUAUCAUUUAGAGGAAGGAGAAGUCGUAACAAGGUUUCCGUAGGUGAACCUGCGGAAGGAUCAUUGUCGAAACCUGCAAAGCAGAAUGACCCGUGAACAUGUUAUUACCCUUCCUCGGCAUUGCGUAGGACUUGUCCAAACAUUGUCGAGCUCAACUAAUCAUCGAGCGCGGUAUGCGCCAAGGAAAAUCUAAAGAACAUGACCGCUCUGUUGUGACUUCGGAACGAAUGUUGGCCUCGGAGAUGUGUUUGUUCUAUGAAUCAAAACGACUCUCGGCAACGGAUAUCUCGGCUCUCGCAUCGAUGAAGAACGUAGCGAAAUGCGAUACGUGGUGUGAAUUGCAGAAUUCCGUGAAUCAUCGAGUUUUUGAACGCAAGUUGCGCCCGAAGCCAUUCGGCCGAGGGCACGCCUGCCUGGGCGUCACGCAUCGUUGCCCCCUCCUCAAGCCUAUUGCUCACGAAAUAGGUAAAUGAGCUUGUUGUUGGGUGGGCGUAAAUUGGCUUCCCGUUUGCUUGUCUUCCGGUUGGCCUAAAAUCGAAUUCAUUAGCUGCGACUGCCGUGGCACAUGGUGGUAWUCGAACUAAUCGUAACCCGUCACGUGCGUCUGCCAGCCUAACGAAUGGCGUAAACCCAAAUGUGUUACCCUUUUCGGGCUAUGCUUCCAACGCGACCCCAGGUCAGGCGGGAUUACCCGCUGAAUUUAAGCAUAUCAAWUUAAAGCCGGGAAGGAAAAAAAAAACCUUU
RNAcentral lists this ribosomal RNA (778 nucleotides) under Pilea consanguinea. RNAcentral describes it as "eukaryotic LSU rRNA". The stretch from base 302 to 457 matches the Rfam family "5.8S ribosomal RNA". The record is from RNAcentral. Lineage: Eukaryota; Viridiplantae; Streptophyta; Magnoliopsida; Rosales; Urticaceae.